Molecule: ribosomal RNA, 217 nt
Filed under: Ixodes pilosus (bush tick)
Lineage: Eukaryota; Metazoa; Arthropoda; Arachnida; Ixodida; Ixodidae
Description: partial large rRNA subunit
Rfam family: Bacterial large subunit ribosomal RNA (bases 1-135)
Source: RNAcentral
GAUAAUAGUUUGCGACCUCGAUGUUGGAUUAGGAUACUUUUUUGGUGAAGAAGUUUUAUAAAAGAAGUUUGUUCAACUUUUAAAUUCCUACAUGAUCUGAGUUCAGACCGGCGUGAGCCAGGUUGGUUUCUAUCUUAAUAAUAAUAGUUAUUUUUUUAGUACGAAAGGAAUUAAAAAUUUUAAUUUAGUUAAUUAAAUUUUAAUUAAUUUAUGUUUU